GAUGAAGAACGUAGCGAAAUGCGAUGAGUAAUGUGAAUUGCAGAAUUCAGUGAAUCAUCGAAUCUUUGAACGCACAUUGCGCCCGCCAGUAUUCUGGCGGGCAUGCCUGUCCGAGCGUCAUUUCAACCCUCGAACCCCUCCGGGGGUCCGGCGUUGGGGAUCGGGAACCCCUAAGACGGGAUCCCGGCCCCGAAAUACAGUGGCGGUCUCGCCGCAGCCUCUCAUGCGCAGUAGUUUGCACAACUCGCACCGGGAGCGCGGCGCGUCCACGUCCGUAAAACACCCAACUUCUGAAAUGUUGACCUCGGAUCAGGUAGGAAUACCCGCUGAACUUAAGCAUAUCAAUAAGCGGAGGA
This 356-nucleotide unclassified non-coding RNA is filed under the name soil metagenome. Its description in RNAcentral is "partial contains 5.8S ribosomal RNA, internal transcribed spacer 2, and large subunit ribosomal RNA". The stretch from base 1 to 120 matches the Rfam family "5.8S ribosomal RNA", at positions 35 to 154 of the family's 154-position model. The record is from RNAcentral.